AAUGCUCACAAUGUUUGUGACCGUUCGCGGACUGGAGGUGGCCAGGCCCAGCUGAUGAUUUUAAGCUGCUUCGAGCAAGAGGCUCUAGAGCUUGAGAGGCGCCAUGCACCCAGAUCCACUGGUGUCGGUGAGGCUGGGUUAGAGCGGCCAGCAUCAUCAAAGCAUGGCUGCCAGGAGGAAUUGCAGAUGCCCCUUCUCACACUUGAGGGCCCUUAACUGUCAUCUGCGUGUCACCAUUUUUGCGAGGCAGGCACCAGCGCAGGUACUAGCACAUCGGUGGGCAUUGCAACAUCGGCUAGUGUCCCGGGGCAGAGUGCGGAGGGCAUUUCGCAAUCGCUGGAGGAACUGGCAGAGACACCAUGGAUUAGGCACACCAUGGAUUUCUCACUGGUGCUUUUGUGUUGGCCCUGGAUUAGGGAAUUAUUAUUUGUUAAUGGUUUGAUUUUGUGUGACCUUAUGAUGGUGAAAAUUAAAACCAGAUGCGUUA
This is a long non-coding RNA of Carcharodon carcharias (great white shark), 487 nucleotides long. RefSeq lists it as uncharacterized. The record is from RefSeq and is a predicted model, not a curated record. The transcript has 2 exons. NCBI's taxonomy places the organism in Eukaryota, Metazoa, Chordata, Chondrichthyes, Lamniformes, Lamnidae.